Molecule: ribosomal RNA, 207 nt
Filed under: uncultured delta proteobacterium
Lineage: Bacteria; Deltaproteobacteria
Also listed under: 1 other name
Description: partial 16S ribosomal RNA
Rfam family: Bacterial small subunit ribosomal RNA
Source: RNAcentral
CGUGUAGGCGGCCUGAUAUGUCAGAUGUGAAAGCCCUGGGCUUAACCCAGGAAGUGCAUUUGAAACUGUCAGGCUCGAGUAGGGGAGAGGGAAGUGGAAUUCCUGGUGUAGAGGUGAAAUUCGUAGAUAUCAGGAGGAACACCGGUGGCGAAGGCGACUUCCUGGCCCUAUACUGACGCUGAGACGCGAGAGCGUGGGUAGCAAACA